RNAcentral lists this microRNA precursor (68 nucleotides) under Mus pahari (shrew mouse). Its description in RNAcentral is "microRNA 7092 (MGP_PahariEiJ_G0007874.1)". The record is from RNAcentral. Lineage: Eukaryota; Metazoa; Chordata; Mammalia; Rodentia; Muridae.
UGUCUAAAAACAAACCCACAGAAUCAUUUUCUGAAAAAAAUACAAUGUUCUUUGUUUUGUUGCUUUAG